CCUACGGGCGGCAGCAGUGGGGAAUAUUGCACAAUGGGCGCAAGCCUGAUGCAGCAACGCCGCGUGAGGGAUGACGGCCUUCGGGUUGUAAACCUCUUUUAGUAGGGAAGAAGCGCAAGUGACGGUACCUGCAGAAAAAGCACCGGCUAACUACGUGCCAGCAGCCGCGGUAAUACGUAGGGUGCAAGCGUUAUCCGGAUUCACUGGGUUUAAAGGGUGCGUAGGCGGAUAGAUAAGUCAGUGGUGAAAUCUCCGAGCUUAACUCGGAAACUGCCGUUGAUACUAUUUGUCUUGAAUAUUGUGGAGGUAAGCGGAAUAUGUCAUGUAGCGGUGAAAUGCUUAGAUAUGACAUAGAACACCAAUUGCGAAGGCAGCUUACUACACAAUCAUUGACGCUGAGGCACGAAAGCGUGGGGAUCAAACAGGAUUAGAUACCCCAG
RNAcentral lists this ribosomal RNA (440 nucleotides) under uncultured bacterium. RNAcentral describes it as "bacterial SSU rRNA". It matches the Rfam family "Bacterial small subunit ribosomal RNA", at positions 338 to 790 of the family's 1533-position model. The record is from RNAcentral.